Molecule: long non-coding RNA, 2165 nt
Organism: Cygnus olor (mute swan)
Lineage: Eukaryota; Metazoa; Chordata; Aves; Anseriformes; Anatidae
Exons: 2
Source: RefSeq, a predicted model, not a curated record
GCUGCCUCCCGCCCCGCCGGGCUGCUGAGCUCUGCCCGGGGCUGACGUCAAGGCCCCAAAAUUCCUGCCUUUCCCCGCAGGCACAUUUGGCCAUCUUUAAUGUCCGCAGUCACCGCUUAAGAGCCCCAGGAGGGAAAGUCUGCGCGUAAGGACCCAAAAAAGGACGUUAAGUGCCUAAAAGAAUUGAGAAGCUGAAGUAUGGAGUUCUGAUCCAGCCUCCCCUGCCCUUCCCUGGCUGCUCAAGUGUCUAAAACAAGGAAGGAUGGACCCGCACACUCUGGCAGAUCGGAGACCCCAGAAGCUGCUGCUGCACCCUUAGGGGCACCCCUUCCCCAGCAGGCCCCACAGCACAGGAAUUGUGACGUAUCCCACAUUCAGUCCUUGCUGCAAAUGAUCUGUCUGUGGGUUAUUUGGUGUCCUGUGCUGGCCUCCUGCACCAGGGGUGCUAAAUUCCUGUAGAGGAACGGGGAGGACUGCCGAGGCCAGAUGUCAUCAUGCAGCUAAAUCCGUGCGAGCCUUUCAGUCCCAUCACAGAAGUUUUCUAAGCACUGUGACUAGAAAUACCUUAGCCUUGUCCUAGCCGCCUACCCCGUGUUUAAACCCUGCUGAGAUCCAACACCAAAGCAGAAUAGCGCAUGAGUCACUAGGGCCCCAUGCUGUAGGUGUACCUAGAGUGCCAAUAACACUGCGAGCGUGGCCUGUUGUGAAAGACAAACGUGGCUGCUUCCUAAAGCACUGCUGGGCAAGGCUGGAGCACUGGCACUGGCUGCGUGGCCAAAGGCUUUGCCCAAGGCCCUGCAGGCCUGGCUUCAGUUCCUGCCCGGGGGAUGCUACAGCUCAAGUGUCUCCUUCCAGACCACCAGGCUGCAAGGCCAUGCUCCUUCAUCGCACUCUGAGGAAUGCUCCUGAUGGUAUUUUCUGCUGCAGAGGUCAGGCAGUCAUCACGAGGGGCUCGCUGGUGCUAAUGGCUGUCAGUCUCAGCAUGGUGUGGCUCUCGCCAGAGUCCUGAUUUGUAGUGCUCCAGAGAAGCGGAUUUACAGAGGAAUUGUUGCGUGUUUUUUUUUUUUUUAUUAUUAUUCUCCAUGAAAUUCUCUUUUGCAAAUCUGCAACAGUCCUUGUGUAAUAUCAACUAGUAUCUAGGGGAAGCAGCUGAAAACUAAAAGAAAACUGUUUGGCCCAAGAUGAGAGACAAGUGUUCUCCAUUUAGUAUUUCAGAGAAAACCAGUGGUCAAAUAUUUUCCUUGUCCCAUAUCCAACAAUUAUUGCUUCUUUAUCCAUCAAGCUUAUGCAAUUUUCCAGUCGCGUUAGCAGAAGAGAGGAUACUUUGCACGUCCAUAGCAGCCUCCUUUGAAUGAUCUCAACAAUUUUAAGCUUUGGGCCUCCAAACUAUGAGAUAGUACUCCCACUACCUCCGUUUUGCAGGUAGGUGAACUGUGACUAAUCCUCUGCAGCACAGCGGUGGAAGUUUGAUUCCCAGCCCAUUACCCUUGUAACAUGCAGCCCAGAAUGGUCACUGCCUUGUCAAGCACUGUGUGAAUUUUCUAUUUUUUCAAUUUCCUAUCAUGACCAAUAUCAUACAUUUUGGAAAUGAAAGUAGAAACUUCGAGGUGUUGAGCCUGGCUGUGAAAAUCUACUCUUUGCCUGGAAAGAAUCAAAAAUACUGGCAAUGUGCGAUCAUUCCUUUGGUAAUAUCUACCGCACCCUGCACCAUAGCAGCAAAAUGAAUUAAACAGCAAAAGACUGAAAUGCCUUAUAUUGCAUAGGCCACUCAGGAGGCAGUAAUACAAGAGUCAGCAUGGGCCAAUAUUAAUUCAAGGAAAUGAAGUAUUUUAGUGGUUAAGGUACAUGACUUGAAGCCUGGAAACCUGGCCUCUGUUCCUACUUUUCCUGUGUUGUAUGACUUUAGACCAGUCAGUUCACCUUCCUGUGUCUCCAGAAGCUCUUAUAAGCCCAAAGCACGCAUGCAGGCUCUGUGCUGCACUCUUCCUCUGCAAGAAAGGACACACCACAACCAGCCUGAAGUAAAACCUCCCACCAGAUUGUUUGCAACGGGAUUCUGUACAAAGUUUCCAGAAGUCAGCAGAUGAAACCUCAUUUUUCAGAGUCUGAGUCUCUUCUUCUUGGUGAAAUUCUGGAUGCAAAACCAUGAAAAAACAACAACAACA